Long non-coding RNA from Dreissena polymorpha, 291 nucleotides. RefSeq lists it as uncharacterized. The transcript is spliced from 3 exons. NCBI's taxonomy places the organism in Eukaryota, Metazoa, Mollusca, Bivalvia, Myida, Dreissenidae. The record is from RefSeq and is a predicted model, not a curated record.
CGUUUGUGUGUUAUCCCUAUAUCGAUCCCUGUUUAUGGAUACGGAAUCUUACUUUCCCUCGAGUUCCUGGCGACGGCUGUAUCCCUUCUGUGACCUCAUUGAUGGAGUAGCCUUUUGUGAUCUGGCCACGAACAGGUGCACAUGCGCAGAAACACAUACAGCAUCCAGUAAAGCAUGUGUCUCUAAACGUUGUACAGCCCAAGACGCUUCAAAUUGUUAUCGAAUACGGUUAACAGAAUGCGGAGCAAAUAAUGUAUGCAACUGUACAAAUAACGCUGAUAUGAAUGUCAC